CCGAAUUGGAGGCAGAGUUGAAGAGUGUGGUUAGGGAGUUGAAGAGUGUGGUUAGGGAGUUGAAGUAUUUACUAGGGUAGUGACUAGUGAGUCUUCAUUGCACUUCCUCCCUUUGUUAGGGUUUAUGGUUGGAUGGGGUCACUGCAAGAUUGUAUGCGCCAUGCCUCAUAUCCACAUGGUUACACCCACCCUUCUUCUCAAACUCACACCACUGUAGAAUCCGCCAAGAACUUCUCUUUCCCUCUCGACCCCUUUCAGUCCAAAGCCAUUACUUGCCUCCAAAAUGCUGAGUUCGUCAUGGUUUUUGUACACACCUUUGCUAGGAAAACCAUGGUGGCAUUGCAUGUUAUUGGCAUGUCCCUCUACAAUGGCCAGCGCGUCAUCUACACUUCCCCUAUCAAGGCACUGAGCAACCAGAAGUACAAAGAAUUCAAGGAUACUAGACACUUAUUCAAAUAGAUAUAAAUAUGAUAAGAGUACAAAACAGUGGCUUUCUACUGAUAGCUUUUUGCACCAUCUUUGCAAGGCCAAACAAUCCAAGGUCAUUCAUCAUUGAAGGUUUAUGUCAGGAAAAAAUGUCAGAAUUAACGGGUUAAGCUAGAUGUUUGGGCCAAGGAAAGAGAAGUUGUUGGUUUAAAGGCAAGCUUAAACACCUUAAUGUCUGAAAUACAACGCUUGAAUAAAUUGUGUGCUGAGAGGAAAGAAGCUAAAGAUUCUCUAAAGAAAAAAUGGAAAAAGAUUGAAGAGUUUGAUGCUCGUAGAUCAGAAUUUAAGACUAUAUGUAUGAAACUCCUUAAAGCAAAUAGGGUAAUGUUACGUUAUUUCAGUAUUUCCUGUAUUAGCAAAAUUCUAAUUGUAAUGAUCAGGAAUCUUGAGAAUGUAGAGAUUGUUGUGGAUGCAUUAUCCAUAUGGUAAUUUAGUUU
Glycine soja is the source of this 923-nucleotide RNA transcript. It is a transcript of the gene named DExH-box ATP-dependent RNA helicase DExH9-like, with no coding region annotated. The record is from RefSeq and is a predicted model, not a curated record. The transcript is spliced from 5 exons. NCBI's taxonomy places the organism in Eukaryota, Viridiplantae, Streptophyta, Magnoliopsida, Fabales, Fabaceae.